Molecule: ribosomal RNA, 434 nt
Filed under: Triticum aestivum (bread wheat)
Lineage: Eukaryota; Viridiplantae; Streptophyta; Magnoliopsida; Poales; Poaceae
Description: partial small subunit ribosomal RNA
Source: RNAcentral
AUAAAAAAAUGCAUCGAAAUUGGACUGCAAUGUGUUGAGACUGAUCGGCAGAGGAGACCUUCCAUAGAAGCAAUUAUCAACCAGCUCAAUGGACGGCAUUCUAAUUGAGCUAGGAUGUCGUACUGAUCUCCAAUCUCCAGGGAGAAUUAAGUUUGGGUCUUCUUCAGGAGACAUGUGCAAGAAGCAAAGGACAUGCUUGGCUGUUUGCCAAAGUUGAAAUAAGUUGAAAUAACUUCCAUUUCUUAUGAUGAUUGCUACUCCAUGUAUAUUUUCCUGGUAAUGGACUUCUUUAUAGUCCAGAUUUAAGUGCCACGUAAGAAUUUUAUUCUCCCUGUGGAGAUUUUAAGAUGCGCCAACUUUUUCUCAAGGACAAUUAGAGUAUGUGUAGUUCUAAUUUCUAAACAUAAUACACUCUCACAUUUAAUUUACCAAAA